AUGCAUGUCUAAGUACAAGCCUAAUUAAGGUGAAACCGCGAAUGGCUCAUUAAAUCACACCUAAUCUACUGGAUUGUUCCUGUUACUUGGAUAACUGCGGUAAUUCUGGAGCUAAUACAUGCGAAAAAGCCUCAACGCAAGGCGAGGCGCUUUUAUUAGACCAAAACCAAACGGUUCUACCGUUACUCUGGUGAUUCUGAAUAACUUUUUGCAGAUCGCACGGAUUAAUUCCGGCGACAAAUCCAUCGAAGGUGUGCCCUAUCAACUGUCGACUGUGGUAUAGACGUCCACAGUGGUUUUGACGGGUAACGGGGAAUUAGGGUUCGAUUCCGGAGAGGGAGCCUGAGAAACGGCUACCACU
This 361-nucleotide ribosomal RNA is filed under the name Oncaeidae sp. USNM IZ 1448531. RNAcentral's name for it is "SSU rRNA". It matches the Rfam family "Eukaryotic small subunit ribosomal RNA", at positions 51 to 414 of the family's 1831-position model. Lineage: Eukaryota; Metazoa; Arthropoda; Copepoda; Poecilostomatoida; Oncaeidae. RNAcentral also lists the same sequence under 2 other names. The record is from RNAcentral.